UAAGCCUCGGGGGCAGCAGUGGGGGAUAUUGCACAAUGGGGGGAACCCUGAUGCAGCGACGCCGCGUGGGUGAAGAAGCGCCUCGGCGCGUAAAGCCCUGUCAGCAGGGGAGAAAAUGACGGUACCUGAAGAAGAAGCCCCGGCUAACUACGUGCCAGCAGCCGCGGGAAUACGUAGGGGGCAAGCGUUAUCCGGAUUUACUGGGUGUAAAGGGGGCGCAGACGGCGAUGCAAGCCAGGAGUGAAAGCCCUGGGCCCAACCCCGUGACUGCUCUUGGAACUGCGUGGCUGGAGUGCAGG
Molecule: ribosomal RNA, 299 nt
Filed under: uncultured bacterium
Lineage: Bacteria
Description: partial 16S ribosomal RNA
Rfam family: Bacterial small subunit ribosomal RNA
Source: RNAcentral